RNAcentral lists this ribosomal RNA (491 nucleotides) under uncultured bacterium. RNAcentral's name for it is "partial 16S ribosomal RNA". It matches the Rfam family "Bacterial small subunit ribosomal RNA", at positions 29 to 506 of the family's 1533-position model. The record is from RNAcentral.
AGUGAACGCUGGCGGUAGGCCUAACACAUGCAAGUCGAACGGCAGCACAGUAAGAGCUUGCUCUUACGGGUGGCGAGUGGCGGACGGGUGAGGAAUACAUCGGAAUCUACUUUUUCGUGGGGGAUAACGUAGGGAAACUUACGCUAAUACCGCAUACGACCUACGGGUGAAAGCAGGGGAUCUUCGGACCUUGCGCGAUUGAAUGAGCCGAUGUCGGAUUAGCUAGUUGGCGGGGUAAAGGCCCACCAAGGCGACGAUCCGUAGCUGGUCUGAGAGGAUGAUCAGCCACACGGGAACUGAGACACGGUCCAGACUCCUACGGGAGGCAGCAGUGGGGAAUAUUGGACAAGGGGCGCAAGCCUGAUCCAGCCAUACCGCGUGGGUGAAGAAGGCCUUCGGGUUGUAAAGCCCUUUUGUUGGGAAAGAAAAGCAGCAGGUUAAUACCCCGCUGUUCUGACGGUACCCAAAGAAUAAGCACCGGCUAACUUCGU